RNAcentral lists this non-coding RNA (112 nucleotides) under Candidatus Parcubacteria bacterium. Its description in RNAcentral is "Parcubacteria bacterium SAM-I sequence". It matches the Rfam family "SAM riboswitch aptamer (S box leader)". From Rfam's summary of the family: The SAM riboswitch is found upstream of a number of genes which code for proteins involved in methionine or cysteine biosynthesis in Gram-positive bacteria. The SAM riboswitch acts at the level of transcription termination control. Lineage: Bacteria; Candidatus Parcubacteria. The record is from RNAcentral.
AAAUUAUCACGAGCGCAGGGGAGGGAACUGACCCGUUGAUCCUGCCGGCAAAGCGGUCUUUUGAAGACUGUAGUGCCACUUUCAGCUCGCCAGCGCGCGGGAAAGAUAACAU